UACGUAGGGGGCAAGCGUUGUCCGGAUUUAUUGGGCGUAAAGAGCGUGUAGGCGGCCAGGUAGGUCAGCUGUGAAAACUCGAGGCUUAACCUCGAGACGCCGGCUGAAACCCUCUGGCUAGAGUCCGGAAGAGGAGAGCGGAAUUCCUGGUGUAGCGGUGAAAUGCGCAGAUAUCAGGAAGAACACCCGUGGCGAAGGCGGCAUCCUGGACUGGUCCUGACGCUCAGGAGCGAAAGCGUGGGGAGCGAUCCGG
RNAcentral lists this ribosomal RNA (253 nucleotides) under uncultured bacterium. RNAcentral describes it as "partial 16S ribosomal RNA". It matches the Rfam family "Bacterial small subunit ribosomal RNA", at positions 524 to 776 of the family's 1533-position model. The record is from RNAcentral.